RNAcentral lists this ribosomal RNA (1249 nucleotides) under metagenome. Its description in RNAcentral is "bacterial LSU rRNA". It matches the Rfam family "Bacterial large subunit ribosomal RNA", at positions 1635 to 2874 of the family's 2925-position model. The record is from RNAcentral.
UACACGACCGUACCGCAAACCGACACUGGUGCGCGAGAUGAGUAUUCUAAGGCGCUUGAGAGAACUCAGGAGAAGGAACUCGGCAAAUUGACACCGUAACUUCGGAAGAAGGUGUGCCUUUAGUAGGUGAACCAUUUACUUGGGGAGCCCAAUGAGGCUGCAAAAAAUCGGUGGCUGCAACUGUUUAUUAAAAACACAGCACUCUGCUAAGACGAAAGUCGACGUAUAGGGUGUGACUCCUGCCCGGUGCUGGAAGAUUAAAUGAUGGGGUGCAAGCUCUUGAUUGAAGUCCCAGUAAACGGCGGCCGUAACAAUAACGGUCCUAAGGUAGCGAAAUUCCUUGUCGGGUAAGUUCCGACCUGCACGAAUGGCGUAAUGAUGGCCACACUGUCUCCUCCUGAGACUCAGCGAAGUUGAAAUGUUUGUGAUGAUGCAAUCUCCCCGCGGAAAGACGGAAAGACCCCAUGAACCUUUACUGUAGCUUUGUAUUGGACUUUGAACAGAUCUGUGUAGGAUAGGUGGGAGGCUUUGAAGUGUGGUCGCUAGAUCGCAUGGAGCCAACGUUGAAAUACCACCCUGGUGUGUUUGAGGUUCUAACUUAGGUCCAUUAUCUGGAUCGGGGACAGUGCAUGGUAGGCAGUUUGACUGGGGCGGUCUCCUCCCAAAGUGUAACGGAGGAGUUCGAAGGUACGCUAGGUACGGUCGGACAUCGUGCUAAUAGUGCAAUGGCAUAAGCGUGCUUAACUGCGAGACUGACAAGUCGAGCAGAUGCGAAAGCAGGACAUAGUGAUCCGGUGGUUCUGUAUGGAAGGGCCAUCGCUCAACGGAUAAAAGGUACUCUGGGGAUAACAGGCUGAUACCGCCCAAGAGUUCAUAUCGACGGCGGUGUUUGGCACCUCGAUGUCGGCUCAUCUCAUCCUGGGGCUGUAGCCGGUCCCAAGGGUAUGGCUGUUCGCCAUUUAAAGAGGUACGUGAGCUGGGUUUAAAACGUCGUGAGACAGUUUGGUCCCUAUCUUCCGUGGGCGCUGCAGAUUUGAGGAAGCCUGCUCCUAGUACGAGAGGACCGGAGAGGACGAACCUCUGGUGUAUCGGUUGUCACGCCAGUGGCAUUGCCGAGUAGCUAAGUUCGGAAGAGAUAACCGCUGAAAGCAUCUAAGCGGGAAACUCGUUUUAAGAUUAGAUCUGCCGGGGCCUUGAGCCCCCUAAAGAGUCUUCAAGACCAGGACGUUGAUAGGUCAGGUGUGGAAGC